RNAcentral lists this ribosomal RNA (130 nucleotides) under uncultured bacterium. Its description in RNAcentral is "partial 16S ribosomal RNA". It matches the Rfam family "Bacterial small subunit ribosomal RNA", at positions 373 to 520 of the family's 1533-position model. The record is from RNAcentral.
GGGCGCAAGCCUGAUGCAGCGACGCAGCGUGAGGGACGAAGGCCUUCGGGUUGUAAACCUCUUUCGGCGGGGACGAUGAUGACGGUACCCGCAGAAUAAGCCCCGGCUAACUUCGUGCCAGCAGCCGCGG